CUUAAAGCACUAAAGGAGGAAUGUCAGUGCAUCUCCAUAAAUCUGAGACGGACGAGUGUAAGCCUUUAAUUUCACUCUUAUUUCAGCAAACAGAUUUAGUUCAUGAAAAGAGCUGAACAGAGCUCACAGUGUUUCUUCUCUCCUCACAUCUGAUCUAAAUCUCCAUGUCAUCACAGAUUGAGUUGUUGCCUCCUGCACCUUUUUCCUUGACCCGUGUUGGUUUAUUGAGAAACCAGCCUAGUGUUUCAGAUUUGGUUUCUGCAUGAUUGAUUAGCCUGAUUCCUGAAGUGAUGAUUCUGGCCUCAGGGGCGGCGCCCUUCAAAGGACACAGGCUACAAAGGACGUGUCCUUCAUAGCCUUUGUAGACCCCUAAGGCUUGAGGAAAUGAGACGGUCUGGUCCACGAAGAAUUUGUGUCUGAAGUUGUUCCUGCCCUUACCCUAGCAUCACAGAGCUAACUGGCUAACUAGCAAACAUUAUAGACGUCACAUCACUAAACCUAUUAUGUUGGAAAUGUAAAGGCCCCCUCUCAAUUUAUUUAACAUUUGCAUCACGAGUGAGUCCAUUGAGUUGAACCUAACACAUUCAUCACUAGGCCACUUGUGGGUCCUCUGUCUUGUUUGAAAUUCGGAGCGGUGAAUCUUGGGAUCCAGUGACUUCCUGCUCCCCUGUUUCCCGCUCUCCUGAUUACCCCAAUGUGUUGCACCUGUGUCUUGUUAAUCCCACUCCUAGUGUGUAGCCCACUUAAACUCACUCUCCCCUUCCUUCUGUGCCAGUUCGUCUUGUACCUUGUGUCAGAGGUCCAGCAUUUUUCUGUGUUUAUUCAUGUGUUUUUGACCAGUUUAUGUCCCUUUUUGAACAUGAUUUUUGCCUCUUGUCUUGGAUACCUCUGGCUUUUUGAACUUGUUUCUGAUUAAACAGACUUUGAAUUCUC
Long non-coding RNA from Notolabrus celidotus (New Zealand spotty), 933 nucleotides. RefSeq lists it as uncharacterized. The record is from RefSeq and is a predicted model, not a curated record. NCBI's taxonomy places the organism in Eukaryota, Metazoa, Chordata, Actinopteri, Labriformes, Labridae. The transcript has 2 exons.